UUGAACUACGAUACAGCAUUAAUUUUGGUUAGAUAAUCCGUUAAUGCUCACAAAAUGUUCAUAUAAUAAAUGUUCUUCGAUGAUCGUGAAUGGUUAAGUUACAGUUCAGGAACAGAUACGGAACAUACAACU
Calliphora vicina (urban bluebottle blowfly) is the source of this 132-nucleotide non-coding RNA. RefSeq annotates it as small Cajal body-specific RNA 8. The transcript has a single exon. The record is from RefSeq and is a predicted model, not a curated record. Lineage: Eukaryota; Metazoa; Arthropoda; Insecta; Diptera; Calliphoridae.